CCUACGGGAGGCAGCAGUGAGGAAUAUUGGUCAAUGGACGAGAGUCUGAACCAGCCAAGUAGCGUGAAGGAUGACUGCCCUAUGGGUUGUAAACUUCUUUUAUAUGGGAAUAAAAUGGUCCACGUGUGGUCUUUUGUAUGUACCUUAUGAAUAAGGAUCGGCUAACUCCGUGCCAGCAGCCGCGGUAAUACGGAGGAUCCGAGCGUUAUCCGGAUUUAUUGGGUUUAAAGGGAGCGUAGGUGGAUUGUUAAGUCAGUUGUGAAAGUUUGCGGCUCAACCGUAAAAUUGCAGUUGAUACUGGCAGUCUUGAGUACAGUAGAGGUGGGCGGAAUUCGUGGUGUAGCGGUGAAAUGCUUAGAUAUCACGAAGAACUCCGAUUGCGAAGGCAGCUUACUGGACUGCAACUGACACUGAGGCUCGAAAGUGUGGGUAUCAAACAGGAUUAGAUACCCCUGUAGUC
RNAcentral lists this ribosomal RNA (460 nucleotides) under uncultured bacterium. Its description in RNAcentral is "partial 16S ribosomal RNA". It matches the Rfam family "Bacterial small subunit ribosomal RNA", at positions 338 to 795 of the family's 1533-position model. The record is from RNAcentral.